Molecule: non-coding RNA, 29 nt
Filed under: Mus musculus (house mouse)
Lineage: Eukaryota; Metazoa; Chordata; Mammalia; Rodentia; Muridae
Source: RNAcentral
UGACACAGGAGAGCAACUCUGGUCCACUC